AACAGUAAGAGAUUAUGUGCUG
This 22-nucleotide microRNA is filed under the name Xenopus laevis (African clawed frog). RNAcentral's name for it is "Xla-Mir-2184-P3_5p (mature (guide))". RNAcentral also lists the same sequence under 1 other name. Lineage: Eukaryota; Metazoa; Chordata; Amphibia; Anura; Pipidae. The record is from RNAcentral.